AAUCAGGGUUGCACCUCUCCUCUAGCC
This 27-nucleotide non-coding RNA is filed under the name Rattus norvegicus (Norway rat). The record is from RNAcentral. Lineage: Eukaryota; Metazoa; Chordata; Mammalia; Rodentia; Muridae.